RNAcentral lists this long non-coding RNA (271 nucleotides) under Lathyrus oleraceus (garden pea). RNAcentral's name for it is "Pisum sativum (pea) long non-coding RNA (PSAT_LNC006857)". The record is from RNAcentral. Lineage: Eukaryota; Viridiplantae; Streptophyta; Magnoliopsida; Fabales; Fabaceae.
UCUUUCAUGGUAUUGAGUGGAAACUUGUCCUUUUUUCUUCCUUUGGAAGAUGUCUUGGUUCAAGUGGGUUGAGUGUUCUCCAAAGAAUAACUAAAAAAAAAAAAAAAAAACAAAAAUAAGCAAACUUCUAACUCAUUAACAACUAACUUUUAAUUUCAAUCCAUUUACUUUAAUGUCAUUUAAUUUUAGUCUUUAUUCAUUUGCCAUUAUUCAUACCAUUCUAAUUGUUUAUGCUAAUGCAAUUUUCACUUUGUCCACUUGUAACAUAUUG